AUACGGAGGGUGCAAGCGUUAUUCGGAAUCACUGGGCGUAAAGGGUGCGUAGGCGGUUUGAUAAGUCUGAUGUGAAAUCCUAUGGCUCAACCAUAGAACUGCAUUGGAAACUGUCAGACUAGAAUACUGAAGGGGCAGAUGGAAUUAGUGGUGUAGGGGUAAAAUCCGUAGAUAUCACUAGGAAUACCGAAAGCGAAAGCGAUCUGCUGGGAAGUUAUUGACGCUGAGGCACGAAAGCGUGGGGAGCAAACGGGAGUAGAAACCCUAGUAGUCC
This 274-nucleotide ribosomal RNA is filed under the name uncultured bacterium. RNAcentral's name for it is "partial 16S ribosomal RNA". It matches the Rfam family "Bacterial small subunit ribosomal RNA", at positions 523 to 796 of the family's 1533-position model. The record is from RNAcentral.